Molecule: ribosomal RNA, 234 nt
Filed under: uncultured bacterium
Lineage: Bacteria
Description: partial 16S ribosomal RNA
Rfam family: Bacterial small subunit ribosomal RNA
Source: RNAcentral
CGGGACGGGUGAGUAAUGUCUGGGAAAACUGCCUGAUGGAGGGGGAUAACUACUGGAAACGGUAGCUAAUACCGCAUAACGUCGCAAGACCAAAGAGGGGGACCUUAGGGCCUCUUGCCAUCGGAUGUGCCCAGAUGGGAUUAGCUAGUAGGUGGGGUAAAGGCUCACCUAGGCGACGAUCCCUAGCUGGUCUGAGAGGAUGACCAGCCACACUGGAACUGAGACACGGUCCAG